RNAcentral lists this transfer RNA (98 nucleotides) under Neurospora sp. IMI 360204. Its description in RNAcentral is "tRNA-Ile". It matches the Rfam family "tRNA". From Rfam's summary of the family: Transfer RNA (tRNA) molecules are approximately 80 nucleotides in length. Their secondary structure includes four short double-helical elements and three loops (D, anti-codon, and T loops). The record is from RNAcentral. Lineage: Eukaryota; Fungi; Ascomycota; Sordariomycetes; Sordariales; Sordariaceae.
GCCCGAUUAGCUCAGCUGGUUAGAGCGUCGUACUAAUAUCUUGUUUUCGAGAUAUCAAGUCCAUGCGAAGGUCAACAGUUCAAUCCUGUUAUUGGGCA